This 236-nucleotide ribosomal RNA is filed under the name Escherichia coli. RNAcentral's name for it is "partial 16S ribosomal RNA". It matches the Rfam family "Bacterial small subunit ribosomal RNA", at positions 1 to 231 of the family's 1533-position model. Lineage: Bacteria; Pseudomonadati; Pseudomonadota; Gammaproteobacteria; Enterobacterales; Enterobacteriaceae. The record is from RNAcentral.
UUAAAUUGAAGAGUUUGAUCAUGGCUCAGAUUGAACGCUGGCGGCAGGCCUAACACAUGCAAGUCGAACGGUAACAGGAAGCAGCUUGCUGUUUUGCUGACGAGUGGCGGAAGGGUGAGUAAUGUCUGGGAAACUGCCUGAUGGAGGGGGAUAACUACUGGAAACGGUAGCUAAUACCGCAUAACGUCGCAAGACCAAAGAGGGGGACCUUAGGGCCUCUUGCCAUCGGAUGUGCC